Molecule: long non-coding RNA, 320 nt
Filed under: Homo sapiens (human)
Lineage: Eukaryota; Metazoa; Chordata; Mammalia; Primates; Hominidae
Description: non-protein coding lnc-BRINP3-8:1
Source: RNAcentral
GAUCCUUCAGGAAUUGCUGCACUGUCUUCCACAGUGGCUGAACUAAUUUACAUUCCCACCAGCAGUGUAAAAACAUUCCAAUUUCUCCACAGCCUCACCAGCAUUUACUGUUUCUUGACUUUUUAAUAAUUGCUAUUCUGCUCUCUGCUUGUCUGUUGUUGGUGUAUAGGAAUGCUUGUGAUUUUUGUGCAUUGAGUUUGUAUCCUGAGACUUUGCUGAAUUUGCUUAUCAACUUAAGGAGUUUUGGGGAUGAGACGAUGGGAUUUUUAAAUAUAGAAUCAUGUCGUCUGCAAACAGAGACAGUUUGUCUUCUUCUUUUC